Molecule: ribosomal RNA, 440 nt
Filed under: uncultured bacterium
Lineage: Bacteria
Description: partial 16S ribosomal RNA
Rfam family: Bacterial small subunit ribosomal RNA
Source: RNAcentral
CCUACGGGAGGCAGCAGUGGGGAAUAUUGCACAAUGGGGGGAACCUUGAUGCAGCAACGCCGCGUUGGUGAAGAAGUACUCCGGUAUGUUAAGCCCUGUCAGCCGGGAAGCAAAUGCCGGUACCUGACCACGAAGCCGCGUCUAACUAGGUACAGGAAGCCUGGGUACUACGUAGGGGGCAAGCGUUAUACGGAUUUACUGGGGGUUAAGGGAGCGUAGACGGCAAGGCAAGUCUGGAGUGAAACUCCUUGUGCCAACCACGGGACUGCUUUGGAAACUGGGUUGCUGGAGUGGAGGAGGAGUAAGCGGAAUUCCUAGUGUAGCGGUGAAAUGCGUAGAUAUUAGGAGGAACACCGGUGGCGAAGGCGGCUUACUGGACUCUAACUGACGCUGAGGCACGAAGGCGUGGGUAGCAAACAGGAUUAGAUACCCCAGUAGUC